RNAcentral lists this ribosomal RNA (534 nucleotides) under Triticum aestivum (bread wheat). Its description in RNAcentral is "partial small subunit ribosomal RNA". The record is from RNAcentral. Lineage: Eukaryota; Viridiplantae; Streptophyta; Magnoliopsida; Poales; Poaceae.
AUGGGCAUGUCUUUUGGAAGCUGCAAGCUACCGGAUGAGCAAUACUACAAGCAUUUGGAUGAUGAAAAGAAGUAUUUCUUGGUUGUUAUGUUGGGUGAUUUCCAAGAUUCGAUGAUAAUCCCAGAAGAAGUUGUGCGGCGUUUGAAAGGUGAGAUCCCAGGAGAGAUCAAGCUAGAAACCCGAAAUGGUUACAGUCAUACUAUUGUGGUUGCCAAGAACCAAGAAAAGCUUGUCCUUACAGUGGCUUGGCGGCAAUUCAUCGAAAACUAUGAUCUACAGAUUGGUGAUUCCUUAAUGUUCAGAUACAAAGGGACCUCUCAGUUUAAUGUCAUGAUCUUUGAUAAGCUUGGUCGUGAAAAAGCAUUAUCGGUUGUUCUCGAUCCUUUUUUGCAUGGGGUCCAAGACAGACACAACGAGGCACAUGAAAUGGGGUCUUCUAAAAAGAUGGAUGUGCCUUGGGAAAGAUGCAAAGUCGGACUGAAUAUCACUACACAAACUUGGAUGAUGAGAAGAAAUAUUUCUUGGUGCAUAUGA